CCUACGGGCGGCAGCAGUGGGGAAUAUUGGGCAAUGGGCGCAAGCCUGACCCAGCAACGUCGCGUGAAGGAAGAAGGCUCUCGGGUUGUAAACUUCUUUUUAGGGGGAAGAGCAGAAGACGGUACCCCUUGAAUAAGCCACGGCUAACUACGUGCCCGCAGCCGCGGUAAUACGUAGGUGACAAGCGUUGUCCGGAUUUACUGGGUGUAAAGGGCGUGCAGCCGGAGAGACAAGUCAGAUGUGAAAUCCACGGGCUCAACCCGUGAACUGCAUUUGAAACUGUUUCCCUUGAGUGUCGGAGAGGGAAUCGGAAUGCGUUGUGUAGCGGUGAAAUGCGUAGAUAUAAGGAAGAACACCAGUGGCGAAGGCGGAUUACUGGACGAUAACUGACGGUGAGGCGCGAAAGCGUGGGGAGCAAACAGGAUUAGAUACCCGAGUAGUC
This 442-nucleotide ribosomal RNA is filed under the name uncultured bacterium. RNAcentral describes it as "partial 16S ribosomal RNA". It matches the Rfam family "Bacterial small subunit ribosomal RNA", at positions 338 to 795 of the family's 1533-position model. The record is from RNAcentral.